RNAcentral lists this ribosomal RNA (216 nucleotides) under uncultured bacterium. Its description in RNAcentral is "partial 16S ribosomal RNA". It matches the Rfam family "Bacterial small subunit ribosomal RNA", at positions 118 to 334 of the family's 1533-position model. The record is from RNAcentral.
UGAGCAAUCUGCCCUUCACAUCGGAAUAACCAUUGGAAACGAUGGCUAAUGCCGAAUAUGACUUCGGAUCGCAUGAUCUGAAGUGGAAAGCUCCGGCGGUGAAGGAUGAGCUCGCGGCCUAUCAGCUUGUUGGUGAGGUAAUAGCUCACCAAGGCGAUGACGGGUAGCCGGCCUGAGAGGGUGACCCGGCCACACUGGGACUGAGACCAGGCCCAG